CGGGGCAUAGUGAAACGGCAUCACGAGUCUUUUGGGAAGAUUUAUUCCUGGUUCGAAUCCAGGUGCCCCGA
Molecule: transfer RNA, 71 nt
Filed under: Bacteroidales bacterium
Lineage: Bacteria; Pseudomonadati; Bacteroidota; Bacteroidia; Bacteroidales
Also listed under: 3 other names
Description: tRNA-Pro
Rfam family: tRNA
About the family: Transfer RNA (tRNA) molecules are approximately 80 nucleotides in length.
Source: RNAcentral